CUGAUCAUCCUCCUUGGUUAUUUGAAUUGUUUGUUAAUGAAAGCCGUUCCCUCUAAGUGGGCCUUCAGGUUUGUAUGUGUCGGCCAAAUGUUUUGGGAAGAAGAAGAGUUACGCUGGAUGGAGAAUUGGAGUCUUUUGGUGAUUUCCUCCUGUAGCUGAUUUGUAGUCUUUCUUUCUUCGUAUAUAUGGUGGUAUAGAGCAGAUGAAGUGCGGUUGUUCUU
Molecule: long non-coding RNA, 221 nt
Filed under: Brassica rapa (field mustard)
Lineage: Eukaryota; Viridiplantae; Streptophyta; Magnoliopsida; Brassicales; Brassicaceae
Description: long non-coding RNA (BRAP_LNC002902)
Source: RNAcentral